GAGAAGCGGGGGAACCCUGCGAGUAAAGCGGCGAACGGGUGAGUAACACGUGGGUAACCUACCCUCGAGACCGGGAUAACCUUCCGAAAGGAGGGCUAAUACCGGACGAGACCACGGAGCGCAUGCUCAGCGGUCAAAGGUGGCCUCUGCAAGCAAGCUACCGCUCGGGGAUGGGCCCGCGGGCCAUUAGCUAGUUGGCGGGGUAAUGGCCCACCAAGGCGAAGAUGGCUAGCUGGUCUGAGAGGAUGGCCAGCCACACUGGGACUGAGACACGGCUCAGACUCCUACGGGAGGCAGCAGUGGGGAAUUUUGGACAAUGGGGGAAACCCUGAUCCAGCGACGCCGCGUGGGUGAUGAAGGCCUUCGGGUCGUAAAGCCCUGUCGGAGGGGACGAAAUGCGAGAGGGCGAACAGCCUUCUUGCUUGACGGUACCCUCAAAGGAAGCACCGGCUAACUCCGUGCCAGCAGCCGCGGUAAGACGGAGGGUGCAAGCGUUGCUCGGAAUUACUGGGCGUAAAGGGCGCGUAGGCGGCCUGCUAAGUUCGGUGUGAAAGCCCCCGGCUCACCCGGGGAAGGGCGCCGGAUACUGGCAGGCUAGAGUACCGGAGAGGAGGGUGGAAUUCCUGGUGUAGCGGUGAAAUGCGUAGAUAUCAGGAGGAACACCGGUGGCGAAGGCGGCCCUCUGGACGGAUACUGACGCUGAGGCGCGAAAGCGUGGGGAUCAAACAGGAUUAGAUACCCUGGUAGUCCACGCCGUAAACGAUGGGGACUAGGUGUGGGGGGUAUUGACCCCUCCCGUGCCGACGCUAACGCAUUAAG
This 819-nucleotide ribosomal RNA is filed under the name Geobacter sp. enrichment culture clone GBS2. RNAcentral's name for it is "bacterial SSU rRNA". It matches the Rfam family "Bacterial small subunit ribosomal RNA", at positions 68 to 864 of the family's 1533-position model. Lineage: Bacteria; Pseudomonadati; Thermodesulfobacteriota; Desulfuromonadia; Geobacterales; Geobacteraceae. The record is from RNAcentral.